Molecule: long non-coding RNA, 254 nt
Filed under: Elaeis guineensis (African oil palm)
Lineage: Eukaryota; Viridiplantae; Streptophyta; Magnoliopsida; Arecales; Arecaceae
Description: long non-coding RNA (EGUI_LNC043884)
Source: RNAcentral
UACUGAGCGUGACCACCUCGAGCAGUCAUAAGAAAAUCUACCUUCUCGUCGAUGACUAGCUCGAUGCUGCAGUUGUGUGUCUAGUUCUUUGACCUGAGGUGCAUCGUCGGUUUACCUUGAGUAUAUUAUAGUUUGACUACACCAUAACUCGAUCUCCUAGCCAUCCGAAACCCUGAGGUGUAUGUUGGCUGUAGCAUAUUCAUUGUAGGAACCAGAUCGCAUCAAGAUGGGAUCUAUCAACCUCGGUAGAUGAG